Molecule: ribosomal RNA, 481 nt
Filed under: Toxomerus geminatus
Lineage: Eukaryota; Metazoa; Arthropoda; Insecta; Diptera; Syrphidae
Description: partial 16S ribosomal RNA
Source: RNAcentral
GGUCUGAACUCAGAUCACGUAAGAUUUUAAAAGUCGAACAGACUUAAAAUUUAAACGGCUACACCUAAAUUUAUAUCUUAAUCCAACAUCGAGGUCGCAAUCUUUUUUAUCAAUAUGAACUCUCCAAAAAAAUUACGCUGUUAUCCCUAAAGUAACUUAAAUUUUUAAUCAUUAUUAAUGGAUCAAUAAUUCAUAAAUUAAUGUUUUAAAUUUUAAAAGUUUAUUAAAUUUUAAUAUCACCCCAAUAAAAUAUAUUUUUUUAUUAUAAUUAAAUUAAUCUUAAAAAUUAAAAUAAUAAAUAUAUAAAGAUUUAUAGGGUCUUCUCGUCUUUUAAUUAUAUUUUAACUUUUUGAUUAAAAAAUAAAAUUUUAUUUUAAAUUUAAAUGAAACAGUUAAUAUUUCGUCCAACCAUUCAUUCCAGCCNUCAAUUAAAAGACUAAUGAUUAUGCUACCUUUGCACAGUUAAGAUACUGCGGCCAUU